Haliotis rubra (blacklip abalone) is the source of this 325-nucleotide long non-coding RNA. RefSeq lists it as uncharacterized. The transcript has 4 exons. Lineage: Eukaryota; Metazoa; Mollusca; Gastropoda; Lepetellida; Haliotidae. The record is from RefSeq and is a predicted model, not a curated record.
GAAAAACAUGGAGAACACCGUACCAUCUCCGAGACCAGGUUGCGUUUUUGAGACCAAUUCCUGGGUUCCAUUCCGAGUUUGGGACGGAAUGUCUUUGCUGAGGUAAAGUUGGAGAUGUUGUCAAAAAUAUACAAUCAAAACAUCAAAUGAGUUUACAGAUAUCCAUUUCUGAGGAGGAAACUGACGUUUGCUGCUUAGUAUAUAAGCCUGACAAUGUUGCAGUUCCAUAUGCAAUACAUAUAUGGCAUGAUAAUUUAUGAUAAGCAUGGUAUUACUCAGAAUAAUGUGUGUGCGUGCGUGCGUGUGUGCUGGCGUAUGUAAACAU